Non-coding RNA from Vicia faba (fava bean), 249 nucleotides. Lineage: Eukaryota; Viridiplantae; Streptophyta; Magnoliopsida; Fabales; Fabaceae. The record is from the annotation of a GenBank genome assembly.
AUGACAAGUUCCAGCUUAUAUUAGAUUAUCAUCACCAUCAGCAACAUACAUGCAACAUAUGUACGGGGGAUAAUAUUUAUGCAACAUUCAACUUACAUAUCCAAGCAAUUAAGGCAUUACACACAACUAGGUCAAGACAUGGGAGUCGAUGCAAAAGUCCAAAGCAAAAUGAAAACAAGUAGACAAAUUUUACUUUACAAACAUUUAACCAAUUCAAAAUUCACAUACAAAAAUCAGAGCCACGGUUGA